UUCAUCCCCUCCUCAAAAUCCUAUCCUCCUCCGCAAUCCUCCCAGGCGCGCACGCGCAGGCGCAGCUCACCCGCCCCGCCGGCCGCCGCCGCCGGGGCGACCUUCCAGGGCCUAGAGCUCGCACCCGCCCUAGACCCUCCACCGACCUCAUCCAUCUCAUUUUCCAACUCUGGUGAGCUUCUUCAUCGCGCAUUCGCCCCCGCUCUCCUUCCUCGUCUCCGGCCGCACCCGCCGCCUGCUCCCCCGUGUCUCGGAGUUGUCGUCCGAAUGGCGGCGUGGCAGGAGAGGGCCUUGCGGCGCUGCCUCCUCUUGCCGUUAUAACUGUUUAUCCUUCCUGCGGAGCCGUUGGUGCUUCCGCGCCCGUUGUGCGUUCGCCCCUGGUCCUUUGCCAGUUGCCACUCGCCGGAUAUGGCGCUGCAGGCUCAGCAGCUGCCCUCCUUCUCCUUCACCCCUCCGGCUCUCCGGACCUUCCGCCCUAGCCGCCCCAUCAAAUAUCCGCCUUCCUCCAGAUGCUUCCUUCAUUCCCACUCCCACUCCCAAUUCCACACCCCGCGGCCGCGAAGGUACCCAGUCGCCCACCCUCCGCAUCUUUUCUUGCAAGGACAGGGAAACGAAGGCGACGGCGAGGACGACGGGGAGGAGUCGGUGGAAAUCUGGGGUGGACCUGCCAGCACCUUCCGAGAUGAUACUGAUGGGGAGGGCGGCGACGCCUCGGAGGACGAAGAAGAGCUCCAAGAAUCCGACGAGGAUGAGAAGGAAGGCGGAGAGGGGGUGGGCGAGUGGGACCCGCCUGUCAGCCCCUUUCGAACGCAGCGCGAGGAACCGCACUACCAAGAAGAAGAGGGGGAGGAGGACGAUGCAGGAGGAUGCCAGUGGUUGGACCCGAUCUCCUUCUUUCCAAGCCAAGAAGGGGUGAGCGGCGUUUGCAGCAGCACCAGCAUGGCAACCAUGGAAGCAAUCCUCGCCUUCGCUAGGAGCCCGGCAGCGGUGGGGGACUCAGCAUUCACCGAAUUCUUGGCCAGUUACAGCCACGAGGACCUCAGCGAGGGUGCCUGCGUGGAAUUGAUGAGGAGGAUGUCUGAAGAGGGGCUGGCAUUGGGCUGUGUCCACCUGUUCCAGUGGUUGCUGGGGAAGCAGCCGGUGCCGGUGUCACCACAGGUGUGGCUGGCAGCUAUUGUUGCGCUUGGGCGGUGCCAGAUGGCUGAUGAGGUCUUGGAGAUUGUGGCAAGAUUACCUCCUGAGAGGGAGUUCCGCGAGGCAGUUGUUUACAAUGCCGCGAUAUCUGCUUUUGCCUACUGCAAGAGAUAUGAUGGUGCCUGGAAAAUUUUUGAGCUCAUGGAAAAGAACAAUGCCCAGCCUGAUCACAGGACAUCCUCAAUCAUGCUUAAUAUUAUGAAGAAUACUAAGGCAUCUGCUAAGGAUGCAUGGGAGUUUUUCCAACGGAUGAACAGAAAAGGAGUUAACUGGAGCUUGGAUGUUGCUGCUGCUUUGGUCAAUAUCUUUUGUUGUCAGGGGCUCAGAAAGGAAGCUUUAAUCAUCCAGUCAGAAAUGGAGAAGAGAGGAAUUGCAUCAAACACAAGCAUAUAUAACAUGUUAAUGACAGCAUUCUGCAAAUCUAACCAAAUUGAAGAAGCUGAGGGGCUCUUCGUUGAGAUGAAAGAAAAAGGUUUGCAACCAACAGUAGCAACUUAUAAUAUCCUUAUGGAUGCUUACAGUAGGAGAUUGCAGCCAGAAGUUGUUGAGUUGUUACUUCUGGAGAUGCAAGAUUUGAGUAUUACUCCAAAUUCUGGAUCAUACAAUUGUCUCAUAAGAGCCUAUGGUCGGCAAAAGAAAUUGAGUGAAAAGGCUGAAGAUGCUUUCUUGAGGAUGAAAGCACAUGGCAUUAAGCCAUUAUCUUCUUCAUACACUGCACUACUUUGUGCAUAUGCAGUUAAUGGACUACAUGAAAAAGCUCAUACCAUAUAUUUGGACAUGAAAAGAGAAGGACUUAAACCUACGUUAGAAACAUAUACAGCUUUAAUUGACACUCUUAGGAGAGCUGGUGACACAGAGAAUCUAAUGGAGACAUGGAAAACUAUGAUUGAUGAAAAGGUUGGCGGAACAAGAGUCAUAUUCCACAUGAUACUUGAUUGUUUAGCAAAACAUGGGUUGUACAAGGCAAGGGAUGCUAUAUAUGAAUUUGGAAAGAUUGGUUUAAAGCCUACUGUCAUGACAUAUAACAUUUUGAUGAAUGCUUAUGGGAGAGGGGGGCAGCAUUACAAAUUGCCCCAACUCCUGAAAGAGAUGGCUGCUCUGGAACUAAAACCAGACUCCAUUACAUAUUGUACAAUGAUAUAUGCAUAUGCCCGUGUUCGUGACUUCUCGAGGGCGUUCUAUUACCACAAGCAGAUGGUUCGAAGUGGGCAAAUACCUGAUCGUAGGUCGUACAGAAAACUGUUGAAUACUUUGGAUGUGAAGACUGCAAGAAAGAAUAUAAAGGAUAAGAGUGCAAUACAAGGGAUCAUAAAAGGCAAGGCUGGCUUAAAACCUAGGAAGGAAAAGAAAGACGAGUUUUGGAAGAACAGAAGAAAGCGGUCUAUGCUGAACCCAACUUAUGGACACCAAAGAAAAAGAUUUUUGUGAAUUUAUCUUCGGUGUACAUUCAAUUGUGUUCAAGAUUUACAUCCUAUUUCAUGGUCCCUGCAUUUUCACUCUUGAAAGUUGAAAUGUUAAGUUGGAGCCUGUGUUAUAGAUAUGCAUUUUCCUUUUCCGCUCUCAGCAACCUGAAUCAACUUUAAAGGUUUGUCUUUGAACAUGAUUGGCCUUGAAAACCAUUCAGGAUUUCAAGAAGAGAUGUUGCUCAUAAGUUUGUCGCUCCAUAUUUCGCGACUCCUAAGUUUGUGACAGCUGCAACAUGCUUGACAGGUUCUUAUAUAGAAUUACGGAGAGGAUGUCUCCAAAUCAACGACAAGCGGAAUCUACAGUCUGAAUGCAAUGCUGCUACCUCCUCUCAUUGAAAUGACAAAAGGUGCAAGUUUGCUACACAAGAAUUUCAAUCGUAGAACUAAAAUUGUUAUGCUUCAGAAUUUGGAGCUAAGAGCACCAGUGCAUUGGUUUCAGACUUCAGAGAACAACAGGAAUACUCUAGCGUAUGGUGUUUCUGAUGGCUCUGCAGAGUUUCCAUGACAGCUGGCGUCAGAAAGAGUUUCCUUAACAGCUCCAACUCUCAGUUAUAUCUGCAAAACGAAGUCAAAGAAAAACAGGUUGAGCGCAGCCUUUUUUUUUUAUCCAGAAAAAUGCUUCAGUAACAGCAGACAUGACCAGGCAACUGUGCAUUCAGUAACAAGGAAAGACAAACACUUUGAUCCUUGGAGUUGAGCAUUCCCUUCUGCAACAGUAAUAACUCGCCAAAAUAUUAAAUAUCUCCCUUCUUA
Molecule: RNA transcript, 3413 nt
Organism: Panicum virgatum (switchgrass)
Lineage: Eukaryota; Viridiplantae; Streptophyta; Magnoliopsida; Poales; Poaceae
Gene name: pentatricopeptide repeat-containing protein At5g50280, chloroplastic-like
Exons: 4
Source: RefSeq, a predicted model, not a curated record